Molecule: ribosomal RNA, 400 nt
Filed under: uncultured bacterium
Lineage: Bacteria
Description: bacterial SSU rRNA
Rfam family: Bacterial small subunit ribosomal RNA
Source: RNAcentral
AUUGAACGCUGGCGGCAUGCCUUACACAUGCAAGUCGAACGGCAGCACGGGAGCAAUCCUGGUGGCGAGUGGCGAACGGGUGAGUAAUAUAUCGGAACGUGCCCAGUCGUGGGGGAUAACGUAGCGAAAGCUACGCUAAUACCGCAUACGAUCUAUGGAUGAAAGCGGGGGAUCGCAAGACCUCGCGCGAUUGGAGCGGCCGAUAUCAGAUUAGGUAGUUGGUGAGGUAAAGGCUCACCAAGCCGACGAUCUGUAGCUGGUCUGAGAGGACGACCAGCCACACUGGGACUGAGACACGGCCCAGACUCCUACGGGAGGCAGCAGUGGGGAAUUUUUGGGACAAUGGGCGCAAGCCUGAUCCAGCAAUGCCGCGUGCAGGAUGAAGGCCUUCGGUUGUAAC